UACGUAGGGUGCGAGCGUUAAUCGGAAUUACUGGGCGUAAAGCGUGCGCAGGCGGUCUGUUAAGACCGAUGUGAAAUCCCCGGGCUUAACCUGGGAACUGCAUUGGUGACUGGCAGGCUUUGAGUGUGGCAGAGGGGGGUAGAAUUCCACGUGUAGCAGUGAAAUGCGUAGAGAUGUGGAGGAAUACUGAUGGCGAAGGCAGCCCCCUGGGCCAACACUGACGCUCAUGCACGAAAGCGUGGGGAGCAAACAGG
This 254-nucleotide ribosomal RNA is filed under the name uncultured bacterium. Its description in RNAcentral is "partial 16S ribosomal RNA". It matches the Rfam family "Bacterial small subunit ribosomal RNA", at positions 524 to 776 of the family's 1533-position model. The record is from RNAcentral.